RNAcentral lists this small RNA (207 nucleotides) under Vigna angularis var. angularis. RNAcentral's name for it is "Non-protein coding transcript". The record is from RNAcentral. Lineage: Eukaryota; Viridiplantae; Streptophyta; Magnoliopsida; Fabales; Fabaceae.
AAAACCCUAUUUGUCUGUGUCCUUCCUUUGAGGAUCGAGUAACUUUACGAGACACACCUUCACAAUUUACUUUUUGGUGGCCUUCUUCAUACGACACUCUUUAUUAUUCAUUGUUCACUAUUAAUUUGGUAUUGUUCAUUCAUUGAGCGACAUUAUUCAUUCGCUGAGCGAAUUGACCAACUUGUUAGGUGAUAAUUAAGCUUGUGG